AAUGAGCCUGCCUCAGGGCGGCACAGACGGGGGGAACUCCGCCGUUAAUUAAGAGGACAGCUUUGAUUGACAACCGGCUGAGCAGGUGUGCCGAAACCCAUCGCUUAUGGUAGGUAGAGCGUCGUUUUCUUUUUGGAAAGGAUUCAACCAACAGCGUUCAGUAGAGCAGUUGGGAAAGAUUAUAUUUGGACGCACAUUUGAAUUAAAUGCUUCAACUGCAGACUGCGAUAGAAAUAAAUGGAAUGUCGCAGUUUCAUAAAUGAUACACCUUGUCUCUAUGACUAUGAAAUUCAGCGACUCCCCACUUUCAUAAAUAUGAAAACAUUGAAAUAUGAAUGUACUGCGUUCAUAUCAAAUAGUAAUCAGCUUUAAAUGAGAACCAUACUACAAUCACGGCAAUUUUGUCAUAUAUUUUUUUAUUGCUUAUUUUUCAUUGGCAUAUAGUACCCACAUUGUAAUAACACAAAACUCAAAAAUCAGCAUAGUCCUUUAAGAAAAUAGCCACCAGGGGUCGUGGUUACACUGAUUUUACACAGGGCUUCGUGCGUAACAGCGCCCCCUAGCGGUUCUAUACGUUUCAGAGAAUCUUACCCCUCUCUCGGACGCAGCCAUCCACACCCACCAGUGGCUGGAGGGAGCUCCACACAUCCACACACACCUCGCUACCCAUGUCCCUUCAUUGGGAGGUUGAAGUGCAUUGGAACUUCGUAACUCCUCUAAAUUGAGUGAUAAAAUAAAAUGUCAUAGAUUACUAUCUUGAAGACCGAAUUGAAUCUACCACGUUAAAACCAAGUGAAACAAUUCAGGGUUCAGGAGGUUUGGUCCUCAUUUAAGGUUCUUUCAUCAAGGAGUUGAUUGUUUCAUUUCCUUAAUUCAAUUAAAGAAGUCAUGUUUUUUAAUUAGUCUCUAAAACCCCCAAACCACAAGAGCCGUAGCUAAUAACGCCUCCCCCUAGAUGAAUUCCCGGCGCUAGCACGACGUGCUUUAAAGACCUGUGGCGUGCCAAUGUUUUGCUCUGAGGAUACGUCCAACUCGACUCCUCUCCUUUUUAUACCCUGGCCGUCCUCUGCCAACACAAACCAUGGCUGCGUUCCAGAACGUUCUCCUUGAUCCCUCCUGCUGUGGGCACCAGCAGUAUCACGACUGAGCACUGGGAGACUGGGAACCGGCUCGGAACAGCCGAGCUGCCUCAGAGACAUUAGUCAUCAACCAACUGUCGAUCAUCUGACCCACCAGAACCUUCCUACUCUGUAGCCAAGCACCGUUGUUGCAUGACGGCGCGCGGCGUAUAAUCGCUAAAACAUUUCCUGUUCGGAGACACCGAUGUACCCUCGGGACCCAUGACGAUUUGUGGACGAAAGCAGAGCUUUGGGUCGAGGAUUCGACAACGAGAACAGUGUGCACAACGGAGAUCGAGGAAAAGAUCUGGAGAUCGAGCAGGAAGCGAGAUGUGAAAUCGUGUUAGACAGACUAUUUUAUUGGAAUGCGGCCCAUACAACUAUAAACUAUAAAUAUAAAUGGAACACGCGCGGCGGCCUGUGAAGACGGGGUCGUUGAAGAGGCAGGCAUCCUUCACAUCGCCAAACCUCCAGAACACAGUUGUGAAGGCAGCUCUCACACCGGGGAACAGGGGAGAGAGACCCUAAAACGACGUGCAAUAGUAGGACAGAGUGGGUGAGGGUUCUACAUAAUCCAUCAGGAGAAAGAGGGCAGUGAGUCUGAAUUACCCUUGUUCUGUAAGAGGAAAAUCAAUCAAUACAGCUAGAUCCAUAAUUCCUGUGUGGGUUUUCAGCUAGAUAAUAAUAAUGUUACAGGAUGCUGCGUUGUAAGAGCUUUUUGGUGGGUUUUGUGUUUGGGCUCUUUUGGUGUUUUAAGUUUGACUUCUUUGCUGAAUGUUUUUAUUAUAUCUAAAUCCAACUUUUUCCUAUUUUUCAAACCCCAACCUUGAAUAAGAAAGUGUAUGCUUUGGUAUAAAGGGCCCUUCAUCUUCAGACUUUGUGACUUCAGACAUUUAAUUCCUCAUAGUGCCACCCUGUCUCUCUCUACCAUUCGCCCUCCUGAAUUAUUCGGUACGGUUCUGUGGCUCAUUAGACACACAUUCACCUCAUCCCUCUUUAAAUCUGCAUGAAAGUCUUAACAGAUUUAACUUUGUGCGAGGAAGAUAAGUUGGCCUGUGUGACACUAAAUAUGACAGUUAUAAGACAUUAAAGGAACAAUCAACCCUAAAUAUGAAUGCUAAAUAUUAAGGAUAUAAUGAGUUUAAAUUUGGAAGUUUAUUUUCCCCUCCAUCAGACGAUUGUAAAAGACAAUGUAUUACUCACUUGCAAACAAUGUCACGUCACAAAAAUAAACACAAAACAAACCCAGUACAAUAUAAUUUUUUCGUGUAUCAUAAUAUAAAAAAAUAAUAAUCUUGAAACAAAUCUUCAGCUUGCGCGUGAAUGGAAUUACGUGGAGAAUCAUAACAGGCCAGGGUCACAACAUUUUGGAGACUCAAUCGUUGCACGUAUCUGAUGGAGGAGAAACUGAUUCUUAAGCCAAGAUGGGUGAAAUAGAGAGAGUGGCAAAAACAACCCACACGGUGUAAAGGUCAUCAAUAUCAUUGUUUUAUUGGCUCUAAACCAAGCAUCUCAUGGAACACUUGUCUGUAGCACGACCGCAACACCUUCAUCACGUCGUUAGACUCUACACCACAUCCCUGCUAUUAACACCAGGUUUCAUUUAUAUUUCAGGUAUUUUUUUAUAUGUAUAUAUGCAUAUAUAUAUAUGUUUAUAUGCAUAUAUAUAUGUAUAUAUACAUAUAUAUAUUUAUAGUACAAUAUACAUGUUUUCAUCAAAGGUAAAAUUGCAAAAAAGUGAGCUCCUGGAUUCCUACUCUUUAGUAUUGCAUGCAUGUGUUGAGUGCGUUGAGAUGUGUUGGACGACGGGGAACGGACGCGCAGGCAACGCGAUGCUCAGCGGCGUGGGUUCGUGGAGAGAUGUCACGUGGCGGGCGGACAACGCCGCAGUUUGAACGGGACACAGAAAGGAGCCAUGCUGCUCACCCAAACACAACCCGACACACAACUCAAACGCACACUCGCACUGCUCAUUCAGUGAGAAGCACAGCUUAACGGCGCAAAAUAGAUCUUCUUUAUUCACUUUUUUGUUAUUGUUUAAUGAGGAAUAACAAGGGCUAAUAUGGAAAGAAAUAAACGUACAGUUACUGAAGAGAGCUGAGUGCAAAUCAACACCAAAUCGUUUUGAAAUACUAGCGAUACUGCGUUUGACUGUUUGAGGCACAGCAAUAAGGUGGAGGGCCUUAGAGACUAAAGGUAGCUGGGUACCUCGCUGUGCAGACUGCAAGGGACGCAUCCACCCCGGAGGUCACUCAGGGUGAAGGAAUGGAGGGUUCAUUUAAAGCUAUGAUGGGUAGUAUAUGUGCACAAGAUAAAUAUACUGUCGUUAACUUUUUAAUAUAACUUUAAAAUAGCUAAUCUAUGCAUUUGUUUUUAAAUAAUCCAAAAAUAUCGUUAUUUUCUUAUAUAGGGCAUCUAGUUCACAUAUAUCUAUGUAUCUGUUAUCUUACUGUAUUUACCACACCAAGCAAUACAAUGUCAAUAUGGAAAUAGGCUAUUUCCAUGUUGUUUAUAUGAUAUUUUUUUGCUUUUUUAAAACAAAAUAUCUGAAAAUGUAAAAUAAACUGUAUAGUGCUAUGUAUGUAGGUAAGAAAAUAAAGUAGGUUCAUAUAAUUCAUCUUCUGUAACUAUUUACAGAUGUAUAACGGCCUCUUAGCUGCACACGUUCCCCCACCUAAUAAGUCAAUUGGCCUAAAAUACUUUGUUGAAGUCAUCGUACGUCUGCUACAAUCCAUCGUGUCCUUUGGCUGUCGUAUCAGUCAUCCAACCCGUUACAAUAAGCAUCAUUUACCAUCCAGACAAGCACCAUACAGAAUCAACACUUCAUGGACCCCAACUCAAACAAUUGUUAAAUGUUGAUUAUUUAGAAUUCAUAUUUGACCCAUAAUUAUUUAAUUAUUAUAGUAAGUUUGAAAUUUGUUUUUUUAGCGAGAAUUCUUUGGACCUUUUUAAAGUUUGGGCUCCAACUCUGGGAAUGUCGUUUGCGCUCUAUCACAACGGAAAUAAGCGCAUUUAAAUUUCGGAUAAUUUACAGUAGGUUAGAAGAACGUUUCAUCAUAUUUUUAGUUACAGGGAAGCUGAAUGGAAAACAACCAAUAAUCCGGCAUGGUUUUUAAACAGUAGUAAAAAGGUUAACAUCCUCUGCUACUUUUAACACGAUUUAGAACAAUAGCCUACCCUAAUUCAGCUCUACCGUUUUUUUUUUGUUGGCAUAGAAAGCAAGUGCUUCACAGACAAACAGACAAAAACAUACAUGCCCUUUUGCAUAAACGAGAAACGAGAAAAAAAGCCAGAGCUUUGUUUUGUUCCGGGAAUACAUUCGAUGAGAUUGGUGUCUUCUGCCAAGCGAGAGGGAAGGGGGGGAGUUAUCAGAGUAAACACUGUACAUUGUAGUUUUAAAAAAUAAAAAGCACAUAAUGGACUUCCAGGACUUAUUUACAUCUGUCUGAACGCACUUGAAAUAAGUUUAUGUUUCUCCAUCCCGUGACCCCCAUGUGUUGGUUACACACGAGAAGAGAGAAGAAGAGACAUCGAUCCCCUCGACGCGGUGAAGUGAGAGCCGCUACGUAAACUAGCGAUAUGGCCUCGGCGAGCGUCAUGCAUAAACUGUCCAGAGGGGGGAGCCCACGGGCCGGUGGUCCUCAAUGGAAAAAGUCCAGCUUGCGCGUCCGAUCUUUUUCCAAGCAUUCCGUGAUCGGCGUCUCUUUUCCGAAUCACAAAAUCGUAUGCACUUACACACACGCACUUACACACACGCACGCACACACGCACACGGAGUAGAAAAACACAGGUGAAGCACACAAUGUGUGUGUGUG
Molecule: long non-coding RNA, 4933 nt
Organism: Gadus macrocephalus (Pacific cod)
Lineage: Eukaryota; Metazoa; Chordata; Actinopteri; Gadiformes; Gadidae
Exons: 2
Source: RefSeq, a predicted model, not a curated record